RNAcentral lists this ribosomal RNA (253 nucleotides) under uncultured bacterium. Its description in RNAcentral is "partial 16S ribosomal RNA". It matches the Rfam family "Bacterial small subunit ribosomal RNA", at positions 524 to 776 of the family's 1533-position model. The record is from RNAcentral.
UACGGGGGGGGCAAGCGUUGUUCGGAAUUACUGGGCGUAAAGGGCUCGUAGGUGGCCAACUAAGUCAGACGUGAAAUCCCUCGGCUUAACCGGGGAACUGCGUCUGAUACUGGAUGGCUUGAGUUUGGGAGAGGGACGCGGAAUUCCAGGUGUAGCGGUGAAAUGCGUAGAUAUCUGGAGGAACACCGGUGGCGAAGGCGGCGUCCUGGACCAACACUGACACUGAGGAGCGAGAGCCAGGGGAGCAAACGGG